Molecule: ribosomal RNA, 513 nt
Filed under: uncultured bacterium
Lineage: Bacteria
Description: partial 16S ribosomal RNA
Rfam family: Bacterial small subunit ribosomal RNA
Source: RNAcentral
UGGGGAAUAUUGGACAAUGGGCGCAAGCCUGAUCCAGCAAUGCCGCGUGUGUGAAGAAGGCCCUUCGGGUUGUAAAGCACUUUUAUCAGGAGCGAAACGCUGUCGGCUAAUACCCGGCGGAACUGACGGUACCUGAGGAAUAAGCACCGGCUAACUUCGUGCCAGCAGCCGCGGUAAUACGAAGGGUGCAAGCGUUAAUCGGAAUUACUGGGCGUAAAGCGUGCGUAGGCGGUUUUCUUAAGUCUGCUGUGAAAUCCCCGGGCUCAACCUGGGAAUGGCAGUGGAUACUGGGAGGCUAGAGUGUGUCAGAGGGUGGUGAAUUCCCGGUGUAGCGGUGAAAUGCGUAGAGAUCGGGAGGAACAUCAGUGGCGAAGGCGGCCACCUGGACAACACUGACGCUGAGGCACGAAAGCGUGGGGAGCAAACAGGAUUAGAUACCCUGGUAGUCCACGCCCUAAACGAUGCGAACUGGAUGUUGGUCUCAACUCGGAGAUCAGUGUCGAAGCUAACGCG